UACCCGGCGGUGCUAGUCUUCCUUCGGGGAGGCGACACGCUAAACUUGCGGGAAGUCCCCUGUCUUUACAGGGUGCAUCCGCAGCCACCCACUGCGAGCAGUGGGCGGUUCAGAGACUCAAUGAGCGUGGAUUUCUUCGGAAGUUUGAGAUAGAGCCCGUCCUCGCUGGCAAUAGCGGGGGUUCAACGGAACCUGCGGAAGGAUCAUUAUAGAGUAAAACGGCCUUCGGGCCACUUAUUCUCACCCUUUGUUUACCACACUUAGUUGCCUUGGCGCCUAGCGCCAGUGGAUCAAAACCCUUGAAUCAUUGCUGUCUGAGUACUAUAAUAAUAGUUAAAACUUUCAACAACGGAUCUCUUGGUUCUGGCAUCGAUGAAGAACGCAGCGAAAUGCGAUAAGUAAUGUGAAUUGCAGAAUUCAGUGAAUCAUCGAAUCUUUGAACGCACAUUGCGCCCUCUGGUAUUCCGGGGGGCAUGCCUGUUCGAGCGUCAUUACAACCCUCAAGCUCAGCUUGGUAUUGGGCUCGCCCUGUAGGGCUUGCCUAAAAAUCAGUGGCGGCCGCCGUCCGACCUUCAGCGCAGUAAUACUCGUCGCUGAAAGGGAAGGCUGGUGACCCCGUCAUUACAACCCCCAAUUUUACAAGGUUGACCUCGGAUCAGGUAGGGAUACCCGCUGAACUUAAGCAUAUCAAUAAGCGGAGGAAAAGAAACCAACAGGGAUUGCCUCAGUAACGGCGAGUGAAGCGGCAACAGCUCAAAUUUGAAAGCUGGCUCCUUCGGGGCCCGCGUUGUAAUUUGUAGAGGAUGCUUCGGGUGCGGCUCCGGUCUAAGUUCUCUGGAACGAGACGUCAAAGAGGGUGAGAAUCCCGUAUGUGACCGGCUGCUUGUGCCCAUGUGAAGCU
Molecule: small RNA, 901 nt
Filed under: Lophodermium sp. OK-2014
Lineage: Eukaryota; Fungi; Ascomycota; Leotiomycetes; Rhytismatales; Rhytismataceae
Description: eukaryotic LSU rRNA
Rfam family: Eukaryotic large subunit ribosomal RNA (bases 646-901)
Source: RNAcentral